Molecule: ribosomal RNA, 301 nt
Filed under: uncultured bacterium
Lineage: Bacteria
Description: partial 16S ribosomal RNA
Rfam family: Bacterial small subunit ribosomal RNA
Source: RNAcentral
CAGCCGCCACGGGAAUACAGAGGGUGCGAGCGUUAAUCGGAUUUACUGGGCGUAAAGCGUGCGUAGGCGGCUUUUUAAGUCGGAUGUGAAAUCCCUGAGCUUAACUUAGGAAUUGCAUUCGAUACUGGGAAGCUAGAGUAUGGGAGAGGAUGGUAGAAUUCCAGGUGUAGCGGUGAAAUGCGUAGAGAUCUGGAGGAAUACCGAUGGCGAAGGCAGCCAUCUGGCCUAAUACUGACGCUGAGGUACGAAAGCAUGGGGAGCAAACAGGAUUAGAUACCCCUGUAGUUCCUGUCUCUUAUAA